UGCCUGGCGGCAAUAGCGCGGUGGUCCCACCUGACCCCAUGCCGAACUCAGAAGUGAAACGCCGUAGCGCCGAUGGUAGUGUGGGGCCUCCCCAUGCGAGAGUAGGACACUGCCAGGCAU
Molecule: ribosomal RNA, 120 nt
Filed under: Serratia rubidaea
Lineage: Bacteria; Pseudomonadati; Pseudomonadota; Gammaproteobacteria; Enterobacterales; Yersiniaceae
Also listed under: 1 other name
Source: RNAcentral